This 322-nucleotide unclassified non-coding RNA is filed under the name uncultured fungus. Its description in RNAcentral is "sequence contains ITS1". The stretch from base 1 to 105 matches the Rfam family "5.8S ribosomal RNA", at positions 50 to 154 of the family's 154-position model. The record is from RNAcentral. Lineage: Eukaryota; Fungi.
GAAAUGCGAUAAGUAGUGUGAAUUGCAGAAUUCAGUGAAUCAUCGAAUCUUUGAACGCACAUUGCGCCCCCUGGCAUUCCGGGGGGCAUACCUGUUCGAGCGUCAUCGCACCCCUCAAGCGCUGCUUGGUGUUGGGCGUCUUCUUGUCCCCCCCGCGGCGGGGGGACUCGCCCCAAAGACAUCGGCGGCUUGCACGGCGUCCGUAGCCCACAGCACACCGUGGCUGCCCGCAGACGCGCCCGCAAGCGUGCCGCAACCGACGCCCCCUUUUCGCGGCUCCUGGAUGGACCUCGGAUCAGGUAGGAAUACCCGCUGAACUUAA